GCUGGCGUAGCUCAAUUGGUAGAGCUCCUCACUUGUAAUGAGGUUGUUGUGGGUUCAAGUCCUAUCGCCAGCU
Non-coding RNA from Desulfobulbaceae bacterium S3730MH12, 73 nucleotides. Lineage: Bacteria; Pseudomonadati; Thermodesulfobacteriota; Desulfobulbia; Desulfobulbales; Desulfobulbaceae. The record is from Rfam.